Molecule: ribosomal RNA, 339 nt
Filed under: Ammonia sp. genotype T6
Lineage: Eukaryota; Foraminifera; Rotaliida; Rotaliidae
Description: SSU rRNA
Rfam family: Eukaryotic small subunit ribosomal RNA
Source: RNAcentral
GCGGGAAAUCUUACCGGGUCCGGACACACUGAGGAUUGACAGAUAUAUACCCGUGAGUACUUCGGUGCUCGCGGGUUGAAAGAUGCUAGUUCUUUCAUGAUUAUGUGAUAGGUGGUGCAUGGCCGUUCUUAGUUCGUGGAGUGAUCUGUCUGCUUAAUUGCGUAUCAAUAAUAGAGACCUAGUAUACGCGUAGACUCAUGCGGUAGUGACCCCCCUUCACAGGGCGCGUGUCGCACGUAUGUUAUACGCACAGGUCUCCGAUAGCAACNAACGUGACCGUACUCUAUUGUUGCAGCGACAAUACCUUUAAACGGGUAUUACCGCUGCUUANCAAGAUUC